CAGAGUAGUUAGCUAACCGCAAGGGGGGCGAUUACCACGGCAGGGUUCAUGACUGGGGUGAAGUCGUAACAAGGUAGCCGUAUCGGAAGGUGCGGCUGGAUCACCUCCUUUA
Molecule: ribosomal RNA, 112 nt
Filed under: Ralstonia insidiosa
Lineage: Bacteria; Pseudomonadati; Pseudomonadota; Betaproteobacteria; Burkholderiales; Burkholderiaceae
Description: 16S ribosomal RNA
Rfam family: Bacterial small subunit ribosomal RNA
Source: RNAcentral